RNAcentral lists this ribosomal RNA (253 nucleotides) under uncultured bacterium. Its description in RNAcentral is "partial 16S ribosomal RNA". It matches the Rfam family "Bacterial small subunit ribosomal RNA", at positions 524 to 776 of the family's 1533-position model. The record is from RNAcentral.
UACAGAGGGUGCGAGCGUUGUCCGGAAUCACUGGGCGUAAAGCGCACGUAGGCGGCUUGUUAAGUCAGGGGUGAAAUCCUGGAGCUCAACUCCAGAACUGCCUUUGAUACUGGCGAGCUUGAGUUCGGGAGAGGUGAGUGGAACUGCGAGUGUAGAGGUGAAAUUCGUAGAUAUUCGCAAGAACACCAGUGGCGAAGGCGGCUCACUGGCCCGAUACUGACGCUGAGGUGCGAAAGCGUGGGGAGCAAACAGG